UAUGUUCAAUUAUUUUAUUUUUACAAACAAAUUACAAUAUAGUAAUCCAACAUUUGGUCCAAAAGAAUAAGGCAAAUUCUUAACUUCUUAAUUCCCAAACGGUAAAAGAUUAAUGCAUAAGAACAAAGUAAUAAAAACCUAAAUGUAAUAAUAAUAUAAAUUAUAACAAACAAUAUUAUCAUAUAAUAUAUGUAUUAAUUACAUAUCAAUAACAUUGAAGAAUAAACAUUUGUGUCAGUUUUGAUAAAUCAGUGUACUGUAAAUUCAGAAGUUAUUGGGUGCAUUUAUUAUUGCAAUUUUCUCAUUAAGGACUGAAAUGCGAUUUUCAUUUUUACCAUAUUGAGAAACAUCCUGUUUAAUUCAUAUAAAAAAAGUUCAAAAUGAGAGUUUAAAUUAUUGCAAUUAUAAUCCUGUCGCAAUUUUUCUCAAUAAUUAAAACAUCGCAAUAAUUUCUGAAUUUACAGUACCAUGGUAUUUGAAAAUAAGUAUUGAAAAUUUGGAAUUUAUUGUGAAUAAUGCGACUUGGUGAGUAUGGCAAUAAUAGGAACACACACUCUGAUAGAUCAGAAUAGCAAAAAAAAACUUAAUUCAUGCAGUAAUGCAGAAGCUUGAUAUUAUAGCAGGAGCUGCAGGACUACAUUUUUACAUACAAUGUGCAUGGUUCAAGUUUCCUUUUUUUUCCUCCCAUGGCAGCCAAUAAGUAUUAUUUUCCAAUAGUUUUUUUUUCAAAAAUUUACCUAUACCCAAACUAGAAAAAUGCUUGUUUGGGCCCCUUUUUGGCCCCUACGGUUGUGACCAACAUAUUUUCCCACAACGUGGAGGCAUUAUGUAUGCUAUAUAUACUAUCUGAAUAAAUACUAUUGUUUGCACCAAGUAGUAUUUAAACAAUUAUAUACACAAGAUAAUUAAUAUAAAAUUAUUCAGUAAUUGUAAUAAAUUAAAGAGAAAUUUGUUUAACUGUUAGGUGAUUUGUGACUUCAUUAUGGUAAUACUGUUUUCGUCUGUACCAAUUAUUUUUAUAGGAAAAAAAUUGACUUAGAUCUUCAUUUGGUGUAUUUCAAGCAUAUUUUGCAUUCAAACAUGUAGGUAUUUUGUACUUUAUUGAGUGAUUUGCCUCUGACAGAAGAUUUGAAAACUUCUGCUCACAAUGAACAUGUUUAGGGGGCCAACUGAAGCAUGCCUCCAGGAGCAGGAUUCUCUUGCUGUUUUGAAGAUCCAUUGGUGGCCUUUGGCUGUUUUCUGCUCUUUGGUCAGGUUGUUGUCUCUUUGACACAUUCCAUAUUUUCAUUCUUAAUUUUAGCACAUUCAAAUUAAUGUCACCAUAACUUUCCUAUCUUUAUCAAAAACUUCAACCUGAACAGAAAUGAACAGCCGGACACCAUAACAUCCUCUACUAACAAAAGCAGGCAUAAAAAAUAAAGGCAGUCAGAACUACAUUAAAUCAAACUAGUAACUUGAUUUCUUUACAAAGUCCUUAGAAAAGAGAGUGGAAACAGGGAAUGCCUCAAAGCGACAACUCGACCUUAGAGCAGAACAAAUCAAUAGGUUACAAAUGGGUCAAAGUUCACCUAACAGAGAAGCAAAUUUAACGUAAGUUUUGUUUUCAAUACUGUAAAUUCAGAAAUUAUUGUGUGCAUUUAUUAUUGCGAUUUUGUCAUUUAAGACUAAAACACGAUUUUAAUUUUUGAAAUAUUGAGAAAAAUCCUGUUUAAUUCAUAUAAAAGUUUCAAAAUGAGAGUUUAAAUUAUUGCUAUUAAAACCCUGUUGCAUUUUUGGCAAUAAUAAAAACAUCACAAUAAUUUCUGAAUUUCCAGUACAAAUAAGUUAUAUCUGUACAUGGAUGGGACUAAUAAAUUCACAACUGGCUGUUCAUAAAUGGGGCAUAAAAAUAAUGUUAAACUAGCAAGUUACCACUUUCACAAAGGUCUUAGAAAAAGAGAACUCACCAAAGAGACAAUCGAUGGAAAAAGCAGAAAACAAACCAAGUCUACCAAUGGGUCAAAAUUCACCUAACAGAUAAGAAAAUUUAACUGUUUUUUUGUUGGCCAAAAAAAAAAGUUUAUAUCUGUACAUGGAUGGGACUGAUAAAUUCACAACUGGCUUUAGUUUACCAACCUAGAUCUACUUUUAUAACAAUAAAUAAAUUAAGAGUAUACAUUAUAUUUAUAUUUUUGGUCAACAUAAAUAAAAUAAAAAAAAGUUGCUCUAAUAAUUUAUAUACCAUCGUAAAUUAACUAUAAGCAUAAAUAAAAAUAACUGAUAUGUUUAAAAAAAAAUAAAAAAAUAAUGGAACGUUUUCAAAUCAAAAUGACAGGAAUGAGAUUCUGAAUGAAACCGUUAAAGAUUGUCACAAAAAAAACCAAAAGCAUGCUUUAUAGAGAAGUUUGGACCAUUUGACCUAAUAUAAAAAUCACUACUGGCUCAAGGGAACCAAAAUAGAUCACUUAGUAAUUAUCCUAUGCAACUAUUGUUUGUUACUAAGAUACUUUUUAUGUCACGCUUUUAUCAAAAAACAUUUUACUUAUUUGGUUGGUUAAUUACGUUGAUUUUGUCAGUUUUUCUGGACCUUUUUGAAAUGACCUUAGAGAACAGUAUUUUUUUUUUUAACAAUUUUUCAAUAUUCCUCCAAAUUCGGAACCAAAAAAGAUAUUUUGAAGAUUGGAAAAAUCAAACAAAGUAAUUAAAUCUGAAUUGAAUCAAAUGCAAGCAUCAUUCAUCUACAACUUUCAAUGCAAAAGAAUUAAAAGUUAUCUGGAAAUUAAAUACAUAUAUACGAGCACCUAUAAAUAAUAUAUCAACAUGAAUGACAAUGUCCAAUGACGUUAAAUUUAUCUGAUAUGAAUAAUAAAUGAGAUCCAUUUGUAAGUCAGAUUUCAAAAGUGCCAUCAUUGAGUUUAAUGUACCGGUACUGUGCGGUACACCUUAUCACAGAAAGCUGAUUCACAUGUACUGCUUAUUUGCUAUUUCACAAAAAAUAAGUAUUGAUGAUUCAUUAAUAUUCGUUGGAUACCAGUUUUCAUGGAUUUCGUCGUUACAGGUUAACCACAAAUUGUAAAUUUUAUAUAUGCUUUGUAUGCACAGAUAGGCAUUUCCAUGAAAACAAAAUUACACGAAAAUACAAUCUUUCGUCAAUCCACGCAAAUUGAUACCCAUGAAAAUAAAUGAAUCCACAGUACACUAUAUUGUAAUUAUUGACAAACCAUUUUAUUCAAUGUUAAAUAGAACAUUUACAGAAUAUUAUAUAUAUAUAUAUAAAACCUUUUUAUUCAUCUAUAAAAGUUGUGAAGGGGCCUCAGUGGACCAGAGGUCUAAGUAGUCUAACAACUAUAACAUAAGAGGGUGGUAAAGGGUUAUUUUCGUGCAACGUGAUCGCCGUUUUUUAUUUGACGUUCAACGUGUUUUUACUUUUUUAUUUGACGUUCAGUUGUGCAAGAUGGGUGCCUCGUUCAACAUGUUCUGCUUAUUUAGUUUUACGUGCAUUGUGAUUUUCAAAGUCUUAUUUUGCGUGCUCGGUAUUUUUCAAAUAAAAUUCAAACACUAGGCAAGGAUCGUCAAGAAAUACUUUUUUAAAAGCCGUAAACCAAUUAUAUCAUAAAUGUGUAUACUAAAUCGGGAACAUCAAGUAAUACAAAGAGUUAAUAUAUACAAGAAGGCAGUGACUCAGUCACAAAAGUUCAAAUUAAAGUAUUUAUUUUCGUUGCAACGUUCAUUACAGAACUUAUUUCACGUUCAACGUGAAAUUAUGUAUUAUUUCACGUUUUUUUCGUGCAAACACCCCCCUUUACCACCCUCACAUAAGCCAGCAAUUCUGAGGUUGUGAGUUCAAAUCGCACACAGGGCAUGUGCAAACUGUGCACUCAAUUCCAAUUUUAAUUGCCUAGGAUUGUUACUUUUCCUACCAAAGAUCAGUGGUUCUCUCUAAACACUCCGACUUCUUCCAGUAAUAAAAAAAAAGACUGCAACGAAAUAGCACAAUACUGUUUAAAGUGGAAUUCAACACAUAUCAAUCAAAGUUAAAGUUGUUGAGAAUAAUGGGGUCCAUUUCAAAAUUUUUCAAGACUGGCUUUGUAGAAUCAUAAAAAUCUUAUGUUUUUAAAUAUUUUAUAUAUAAUAUUUGGAUACUCAGAAUAACUUAUUGUUUCUAAGACACCAGAUAGAUUGAUGGUAUAUAUAUUGUGUAAUGCCAUACAAGGUUAACAAUAUAUUCAAAAAUUAAUGCAAUGUUUUCAUCUAUAACAAAAAUUAGACAAAAUUCAGGUCACAUUGUUUAAAACUCACAUUUCUGUUCAACAACGGAAUAAUACACAUUUCAAAAAUAGAUAUUUUCCAAACAGUGAAACCCAUUAAUUUAUUUUGACGAUUCUUAUUACAUUUCACACAUGUGUGCAUUAAUCUUCAAAUUUGCAGGAUGUUAAAUUGAAAAAUAAC
Molecule: long non-coding RNA, 4428 nt
Filed under: Mytilus galloprovincialis (Mediterranean mussel)
Lineage: Eukaryota; Metazoa; Mollusca; Bivalvia; Mytilida; Mytilidae
Source: RNAcentral